This 543-nucleotide ribosomal RNA is filed under the name Ensifer meliloti. RNAcentral describes it as "Sinorhizobium meliloti bacterial SSU rRNA". It matches the Rfam family "Bacterial small subunit ribosomal RNA", at positions 356 to 917 of the family's 1533-position model. Lineage: Bacteria; Pseudomonadati; Pseudomonadota; Alphaproteobacteria; Hyphomicrobiales; Rhizobiaceae. The record is from RNAcentral.
GGGGAAUAUUGGACAAUGGGCGCAAGCCUGAUCCAGCCAUGCCGCGUGAGUGAUGAAGGCCCUAGGGUUGUAAAGCUCUUUCACCGGUGAAGAUAAUGACGGUAACCGGAGAAGAAGCCCCGGCUAACUUCGUGCCAGCAGCCGCGGUAAUACGAAGGGGGCUAGCGUUGUUCGGAAUUACUGGGCGUUAUGCGCACGUAGGCGGAUUGUUAAGUGAGGGGUGAAAUCCCAGGGCUCAACCCUGGAACUGCCUUUCAUACUGGCAAUCUAGAGUCCAGAAGAGGUGAGUGGAAUUCCGAGUGUAGAGGUGAAAUUCGUAGAUAUUCGGAGGAACACCAGUGGCGAAGGCGGCUCACUGGUCUGGAACUGACACUGAGGUGCGAAAGCGUGGGGAGCAAACAUGAUUAGAUACCCUGGUAGUCCACGCCGUAAACGAUGAAUGUUAGCCGUCGGGCAGUUUACUGUUCGGUGGCGCAGCUAACGCAUUAAACAUUCCGCCUGGGGAGUACGGUCGCAAGAUUAAAACUCAAAGGAAUUGACGGG